GGGAGGUAGUGACAAGAAAUAACAAUACGGGGCUUAAAGUCUUGUAAUUGGAAUGAUGGGAAUUUAAACCUCUUCCAGAGUAUCAAUUGGAGGGCAAGUCUGGUGCCAGCAGCCGCGGUAAUUCCAGCUCCAAUAGCGUAUAUUAUAAUUGUUGCAGUUAAAAAGCUCGUAGUUGAAUUUCUGCUGCAUUGCUUGUGUCCCUCUGGGGUCUGUGCAUGUGGCUUUUUUCGGUCGGAGUUUCUUUGUCCGAAUGUUUACUUUGAGAAAAUUAGAGUGCUCAAAGCAGGCUUUCGCCUUGAAUAGUUUAGCAUGGAAUAAUAAAGUAGGACUUUGGUUCUAUUUUGUUGGUUUUAGGUACCAAAGUAAUGGUUAAUAGGAACAGUUGGGGGCUUUCGUAUUUAACUGUCAGAG
Molecule: ribosomal RNA, 411 nt
Filed under: Theileria annulata
Lineage: Eukaryota; Apicomplexa; Aconoidasida; Piroplasmida; Theileriidae
Description: SSU rRNA
Rfam family: Eukaryotic small subunit ribosomal RNA
Source: RNAcentral